ACUUUCUUAGUAUAAUUAGUACAACUGACUUCCAAUCAGUUAGAUCUAGAAACUAACUAGAAGAAAGUAA
RNAcentral lists this transfer RNA (70 nucleotides) under Onychomys torridus (southern grasshopper mouse). RNAcentral's name for it is "tRNA-Gly". Lineage: Eukaryota; Metazoa; Chordata; Mammalia; Rodentia; Cricetidae. The record is from RNAcentral.